AUGGAAUCAGUAGGUCUCUGUGCCAUGUGGACAUGUCUCUGCGUUGUCGAGUGUAGUGAACAAGCAAUCAACGCGGCACAUGUGGAAGUUGUGAGAGCUGUGAAUGGCACCGGUCUUGUCAUACUAAUGAGCAGGAGCACCGACCACAUUACUCUUCAUGCCACUCUGAGCAGUUGGCUGCUGCUUGAGAUUGAUUUCCAUGUUCAAGGGAAGGGAGACAUGAUUGAGUUCCUGUAUAUGCAAGGAUAA
Molecule: ribosomal RNA, 249 nt
Filed under: Triticum aestivum (bread wheat)
Lineage: Eukaryota; Viridiplantae; Streptophyta; Magnoliopsida; Poales; Poaceae
Description: partial small subunit ribosomal RNA
Source: RNAcentral